GACGAACGCUGGCGGCGUGCUUAACACAUGCAAGUCGAACGGGCCUUGUCCCCUUUUUUUUUGGGGGUGGGGUUAGUGGCGAACGGGUGAGUAACACGUGAGUAACCUGCCCCUCACUUCUGGAUAACCGCUUGAAAGGGUGGCUAAUACGGGGUGUUCUGGCCUGCUCGCAUGGGUGGGUUUGGAAAGAUUCGACCGGUUUUGGUUGUUUUGGUGGGGGAUGGGCUCGCGGCCUAUCAGCUUGUUGGUGGGGUGAUGGCCUGCCAAGGGUUUGACGGGUAGCCGGCCAGAGAGAGUGGGCGGACACAGUGGGAGUGAGAGACGGGCCAGACUGGGACGGGAGGCAGCAGUGGAGAAUUAUGCGCGACGGGCGCGAGGAUGAUGGAGCGACGGCGCGUGAGGGAUGGAGGCCUUGGGGUUGGGAACAUCUUUCGCUAGGGAAGGAGGUGCUGCUCUUUGUGGUGGGGUUAAGGGUGGAUGGGGUGAAGAAGCGCCGGCUAACUACGUG
RNAcentral lists this ribosomal RNA (508 nucleotides) under uncultured bacterium. RNAcentral's name for it is "partial 16S ribosomal RNA". It matches the Rfam family "Bacterial small subunit ribosomal RNA", at positions 28 to 507 of the family's 1533-position model. The record is from RNAcentral.